This 29-nucleotide small RNA is filed under the name Bombyx mori (domestic silkworm). Its description in RNAcentral is "ovarian small RNA-7151". Lineage: Eukaryota; Metazoa; Arthropoda; Insecta; Lepidoptera; Bombycidae. The record is from RNAcentral.
UCCAAUUAUCUGCAUGACCCUUUAGUUUA